UGGGGAAUAUUGCGCAAUGGGGGGAACCCUGACGCANCCAUGCCGCGGGAAUGAAGAAGGCCUUCGGGUUGUAAAGUUCUUUCGGUAUUGAGGAAGGUUGAUGUGUUAAUAGCACAUCAAAUUGACGUUAAAUACAGAAGAAGCACCGGCUAACUCCGUGCCAGCAGCCGCGGUAAUACGGAGGGUGCGAGCGUUAAUCGGAAUAACUGGGCGUAAAGGGCACGCAGGCGGUUAUUUAAGUGAGGUGUGAAAGCCCCGGGCUUAACCUGGGAAUUGCAUUUCAGACUGGGUAACUAGAGUACUUUAGGGAGGGGUAGAAUUCCACGUGUAGCGGUGAAAUGCGUAGAGAUGUGGAGGAAUACCGAAGGCGAAGGCAGCCCCUUGGGAAUGUACUGACGCUCAUGUGCAAAAGCGUGGGGAGCAAACAGGAUUAGAUACCCUGGUAGUCCACGCUGUAAACGCUGUCGAUUUGGGGGUUGGGGUUUAACUCUGGCGCCCGUAGCUAACGUGAUAAAUCGACCGCCUGGGGAGUACGGCCGCAAGGUUA
This 547-nucleotide ribosomal RNA is filed under the name uncultured bacterium. RNAcentral describes it as "bacterial SSU rRNA". It matches the Rfam family "Bacterial small subunit ribosomal RNA", at positions 355 to 896 of the family's 1533-position model. The record is from RNAcentral.